Molecule: ribosomal RNA, 1460 nt
Filed under: uncultured organism
Description: SSU rRNA
Rfam family: Bacterial small subunit ribosomal RNA
Source: RNAcentral
AACGCUGGCGGCAGGCCUAACACAUGCAAGUCGAACGGUAACAGGAAGAAGCUUGCUUCUUUGCUGACGAGUGGCGGACGGGCGAGUAAUGUCUGGGAAACUGUCUGAUGGAGGGGGAUAACUACUGGAAACGGUAGCUAAUACCGCAUAACGUCGCAAGACCAAAGAGGGGGACCUUCGGGCCUCUUGCCAUCGGAUGUGCCCAGAUGGGAUUAGCUUGUUGGUGGGGUAACGGCUCACCAAGGCGACGAUCCCCAGCUGGUCUGAGAGGAUGACCAGCCACACUGGAACUGAGACACGGUCCAGACUCCUACGGGAGGCAGCAGUGGGGAAUAUUGCACAAUGGGCGCAAGCCUGAUGCAGCCAUGCCGCGUGUAUGAAGAAGGCCUUCGGGUUGUAAAGUACUUUCAGCGGGGAGGAAGGGAGUAAAGUUAAUACCUUUGCUCAUUGACGUUACCCGCAGAAGAAGCACCGGCUAACUCCGUGCCAGCAGCCGCGGUAAUACGGAGGGUGCAAGCGUUAAUCGGAAUUACUGGGCGUAAAGCGCACGCAGGCGGUUUGUUAAGUCAGAUGUGAAAUCCCCGGGCUCAACCUGGGAACUGCAUCUGAUACUGGCAAGCUUGAGUCUCGUAGAGGGGGGUAGAAUUCCAGGUGUAGCGGUGAAAUGCGUAGAGAUCUGGAGGAAUACCGGUGGCGAAGGCGGCCCCCUGGACGAAGACUGACGCUCAGGUGCGAAAGCGUGGGGAGCAAACAGGAUUAAAUACCCUGGUAGUCCACGCCGUAAACGAUGUCGACUUGGAGGUUGUGCCCUUGAGGCGUGGCUUCCGGAGCUAACGCGUUAAGUCGACCGCCUGGGGAGUACGGCCGCAAGGUUAAAACUCAAAUGAAUUGACGGGGGCCCGCACAAGCGGUGGAGCAUGUGGUUUAAUUCGAUGCAACGCGAAGAACCUUACCUGGUCUUGACAUCCACAGAACUUUCCAGAGAUGGAUUGGUGCCUUCGGGAACUGUGAGACAGGUGCUGCAUGGCUGUCGUCAGCUCGUGUUGUGAAAUGUUGGGUUAAGUCCCGCAACGAGCGCAACCCUUAUCCUUUGUUGCCAGCGGUCCGGCCGGGAACUCAAAGGAGACUGCCAGUGAUAAACUGGAGGAAGGUGGGGAUGACGUCAAGUCAUCAUGGCCCUUACGACCAGGGCUACACACGUGCUACAAUGGCGCAUACAAAGAGAAGCGACCUCGCGAGAGCAAGCGGACCUCAUAAAGUGCGUCGUAGUCCGGAUUGGAGUCUGCAACUCGACUCCAUGAAGUCGGAAUCGCUAGUAAUCGUGGAUCAGAAUGCCACGGUGAAUACGUUCCCGGGCCUUGUACACACCGCCCGUCACACCAUGGGAGUGGGUUGCAAAAGAAGUAGGUAGCUUAACCUUCGGGAGGGCGCUUACCACUUUGUGAUUCAUGACUGGGGUG